RNAcentral lists this ribosomal RNA (497 nucleotides) under uncultured bacterium. Its description in RNAcentral is "partial 16S ribosomal RNA". It matches the Rfam family "Bacterial small subunit ribosomal RNA", at positions 28 to 507 of the family's 1533-position model. The record is from RNAcentral.
GAUGAACGCUGGCGGCGUGCCUAAUACAUGCAAGUCGAGCGAACAGAUGAGGAGCUUGCUCCUCUGACGUUAGCGGCGGACGGGUGAGUAACACGUGGAUAACCUACCUAUAAGACUGGGAUAACUUCGGGAAACCGGAGCUAAUACCGGAUAAUAUAUUGAACCGCAUGGUUCAAUAGUGAAAGACGGUUUUGCUGUCACUUAUAGAUGGUUCCGCGCCGCAUUAGCUAGUUGGUAAGGUAACGGCUUACCAAGGCAACGAUGCGUAGCCGACCUGAGAGGGUGAUCGGCCACACUGGAACUGAGACACGGUCCAGACUCCUACGGGAGGCAGCAGUAGGGAAUCUUCCGCAAUGGGCGAAAGCCUGACGGAGCAACGCCGCGUGAGUGAUGAAGGUCUUCGGAUCGUAAGACUCUGUGAUUGGGGAAGAACAAAUGUGUAAGUAACUAUGCACGUCUUGACGGUACCUAAUCAGAAAGCCACGGCUAACUACGUG